GGCGCACGGGUGAGUAACGCGUGGGUAACCUACCCUGGAGUGGGGUAUAACUCGCCGAAAGGCGGGCUAAUCCCGCAUACGUCCGGCAGACCCAAGUCUGUCGGAGAAAGAUGGCCUCUGCUUGCAAGCUAUUGCUCUUGGAUGGGCCCGCGUUAGAUUAGCUAGUUGGUGAGGUAACUGCUCACCAAGGCUACGAUCUAUAGCUGGUUUGAGAGGACGACCAGCCACACUGGAACUGAGACACGGUCCAGACUCCUACGGGAGGCAGCAGUGAGGAAUAUUGCGCAAUGGGGGAAACCCUGACGCAGCGACGCCGCGUGAGUGAUGAAGGCCUUCGGGUUGUAAAGCUCUGUCAGAGGGAAAGAAAGGGGAUGCGGAAUAAUACCCGCAGCCAUUGACGGUACCCUCGGAGGAAGCACCGGCUAACUCCGUGCCAGCAGCCGCGGUAAUACGGAGGGUGCAAGUGUUAUUCGGAAUCACUGGGCGUAAAGAGCACGUAGGCGGAUGGGUAAGUCAGAUGUGAAAUCCCGGAGCUCAACUUCGGAACUGCAUUUGAUACUGCCCGUCUUGAGUGUGGUA
RNAcentral lists this ribosomal RNA (579 nucleotides) under uncultured Pseudomonadota bacterium. RNAcentral's name for it is "bacterial SSU rRNA". It matches the Rfam family "Bacterial small subunit ribosomal RNA", at positions 97 to 653 of the family's 1533-position model. The record is from RNAcentral. Lineage: Bacteria; Pseudomonadati; Pseudomonadota.